ACACGGACCAAGGAGUGCAGCAGUCGCGCGAGUAGUUCGGGUGUGGAAACCCGUCUCGAUGCGCAAUGAAGGUGAAGGCGGGACGUGUGGCCCGCCGAGGCGAGAGCCGUUCGCGCGGCGCAUCGUCGACCGAUCCGUUGCCACGCCGUGGCGGGAUUCGAGUGAGAGCGUUGCUGUUGCGACCCGAAAGAUGGUGAACUAUGCCCGAGUAGGGCGAAGCCAGAGGAAACUCUGGUGGAAGCCCGCAGCGGUUCUGACGUGCAAAUCGAUCGUCAAACUUGGGUAUAGGGGCGAAAGACUAAUCGAACCAUCUAGUAGCUGGUUCCCUCCGAAGUUUCCCUCAGGAUAGCUGGAGCCCGUUGCGCAGUUUUAUCAGGUAAAGCGAAUGAUUAGAGGUCUUGGGGUCGAAACGACUUCAACCUAUUCUCAAACUUUAAAUGGGUAAGACGUCCGGCUUGCUCGAGCGAAGUCGGGCCACGAAUGCCGGGGCUCCCAGUGGGCCAUUUUUGGUAAGCAGAACUGGCGAUGCGGGAUGAACCGAACGCCGGGUUAAGGUGCCCGAAUCGACGCUCAUCAGAUCCCAGGAAAGGUGUUGGUUGAUCUAGACAGCAGGACGGUGGCCAUGGAAGUCGGAAUCCGCUAAGGAGUGUGUAACAACU
This 659-nucleotide ribosomal RNA is filed under the name Pachymatisma johnstonia. RNAcentral's name for it is "eukaryotic LSU rRNA". It matches the Rfam family "Eukaryotic large subunit ribosomal RNA", at positions 659 to 1290 of the family's 3401-position model. The record is from RNAcentral. Lineage: Eukaryota; Metazoa; Porifera; Demospongiae; Tetractinellida; Geodiidae.